Molecule: long non-coding RNA, 3055 nt
Organism: Triticum dicoccoides
Lineage: Eukaryota; Viridiplantae; Streptophyta; Magnoliopsida; Poales; Poaceae
Exons: 12
Source: RefSeq, a predicted model, not a curated record
UCGCUGCCCCCACCCUCUCCCUCGGCUCCAGCCGCUGCCCCCACCCUCUCCCUCGGCUCCGGCCGCCUCCCCACACUCCAACCACGGAUCGAGCCGCCGCGGUUGCCCUGCACCAGAUCGCGUCGCCCAGAACCACCCGUCGCCACCACGUCCUCCCCGCGCUGCCGCUAUCUCUCCUUGCUCCGCCGCCAGCCGAGCACCUCCUCACCUCCAUUGUUGUUCAGCACUUCCUCCAGUUCCUCCGAUGGGGGCUGCGCUCAUCCACUCCUACUGCUGACCCAGCUCACUCCAAUCCCUCCACCACGCUACCUCCUCCCGUUGGUGAGCCUCCGUUGAUGUAGCACCCCAGCCGUUCACUGUGGCCACCCCGGGCCGUUCAACAAGACAGCAAGCACAUGUUUUCAGAAUCCAGCAGUAAAGCUGGUGCUCUGUCUUCCACUCUUCCGUUCAUCGUCUAGGCACUGUCCGACUGCGAAGAUGGAGUCCUACUCCUACGCAAACGGGCCAAAUUUGAUUGCUUGCUGUUUGACAUGGAUGAUACCCUCUACCCACUAAGCUUAGGGAUCAACUUAGCCUGCCGCAAGAACAUCCAAGGUAAGUACAGUAGUACAGUAAUAAACUUACACCAAUCCUCUGUUUUCAUGCUACAGAAUUCGUGUGCUCAUACUACUUGUAUCUACCAAAUCGCAUACUACAUGCUGAACAAGCUUCAGGUCGAGGAGGGCCUGAUCCCCAAGAUGUGCUUGGAUUUGUACAAAGAAUAUGGAAUUAAGAUGGCUGCUUCUGUGUGUGUGUGUGUGUGUGUGUGUGUGUGUGUGUGUGUGUGUGGAUAUGUGUUAACUGGUGGCCGGUGGUGUGUGUGUGUGUGUGUGCAGGGUACUGCCGGAGAUAAGUAGUAAGUGGCAAAGUGUCUUGAGGCAGCAGCAAGACGAGGCAUAAAGCUGGCGAGCAGGUAUGAGCAGCGAGCUGCUACUAGAACUUGUCGUGCCAUCGUGUAGGGCCAGCAUCGAGGGGACGGGGACUUGUUGUAAUGCUUUACAUCAAUCUUCUGUUGGCAGUUAGACAAAGAAUAGUAGCAAGUCCAAGCUCUCUUUGAGUGGAGCUAUGUAAAAAUGUUUCAGCAGCUCGACGAAUAGCUCGAUUUCACUAGUCUCCUGUUUUGCUGUCGAUCCCGGCCUUGGCGUCCAUGAGCGCGAGCACCCCGUAUCCGGUGGCGAGAUGAAGGCCACCCGUGAUCCCUGCUUCCCGUCAUCACCUCCUCCUCGUGUGAGUUCACUGCCGAGAACAAGCACGGCCACCUACAGUUCCUGGUGGUCGCCUUGGCCACCCUCGGCCAGGAGUUCGUCCACCAUGGUUACUGGCAGCCGUCCAAGUGGAGCGCGGACAUCAGUCCAAGUAGAAUCACAGCCACCAUCUUCACCAAGCGUUGCACAGUUGUCCAAGUCGAGCACAUACAACAGUCCAAGGUCACUCGUCUGAAGGGUCCACAACAUAUGUUUCAGAAGAUCAGUACCAUCAUUGCAAACAGAUCAGUACCAUCAUUACAAAAAGUUUCUUUGAUUUUAUACGUAAGCAAAUCCUUGGAUCUCGGGAAGAUAUAAAGCGUAUGCACAAGAUGGAUUUGGGAUGCAUACAGAUUCUCAUUUCUUGUCCUCACGUUACUCCCUGAUGGAAUAGGACAGACAAACCUUGAGGGCAUGGACUACUACAACAAUUUGAUAGACGAGCUGAUACUACAUUGCCUCACCCAACACCUCCCCUAGCGAGUCGCCACCCAGCCCCUUCCUCCAUGGCUCACCUCCUCUCCCUCCACCCCCGAGGUCCUCCCCUGCAAGUCCACGUUGGAGUGCCGUCUUUCGCAGCAGAGCGGAUGACCAGGGACACGAGUCCCUGCUGGAGCGCUCCUUCUCAACCAGCAAUCAUGAUCUUGAGAGGCUCGCUGUCAAGACUAAAGGUCUUCCCCUGGCUCCCGCCCCUCCUCCGAUGUCAUCCACUUUGAAGACACUGACGCACCCCAUCAGGUCAUGGAGCAAGCAUGGGAAAAAAGGGACUCGCAUCCCGCUGUCGUGCAAGCCCUGCUUCCCGCUGGCGCCCAUCUCCACGUUAGUUCGAUCUGGGCUCUGCCCUGCUCGUGCAACCCAUCGUCGCCGGCAGCCGCUGUGGCCUCGUGCCUAGCGCUCUCUGUGCGCAACGCCUAGGCCAUUCACUGCCUCCACACAAGGCCGUUUGACGACGCAAUGCUCAAGCAGUUCACCCUUACCACCACAAGUCGUUAACCUCCGCCACACGGGGCCGUGCGACAAUGCAGCAAUCAGGCCAUUCACCUCUGCCACCGCCCUGCACCUCGACGUCGAGCAUGGCCCUCCCGUGAGAGAUCGGAGAGAUAAGGCGCUCCUACCACCUUCUUCCCCGUGGAUCCAGCUCCUGUUCCCCGUCGACAGCAGGAGACACGAGGUCGCCUCCGGCGCUGCUGGUGGCGUGAAGGCCGUCAAAUGGUAAAUUUCCGACCCUUGUAACCUCAGGUGAUAUAUUUGGACACUUGCCUCGUCAGUACAACAGCACGCUCCACAGCCGGUCAGGAGAAGAGUUGCAUGCAGGCCACCCUCUGCUCCGUCCUCGAUCCGGCGCAGUCAUCUCCCUCUCAUCCUCUCUCUGCUCCGUGUGUGUGUGUGCAGGGAGUGGAAGGAGAUAGUGCAGGGGAGUGGGAGGUCCUUCCAUGGUGAAUUCAUAGGCAUCUUCCAUGGAGAUUGUGAACUCUCUCGAUUAUUGCUUGAGGAUUUAUGUUGGUCUGUCCUCUAUAGUUCUUGUAUAGUGGCGUCCUCUUUUUCUAGUGUUUCUCUUUUGAUGUUGUUGCAGGUGUUUAAUAACCCACUGAUAUGAUUUCUGGAAACAAGCUUCAGUAUAGAGAAGCUUCGGUACGAGAAAAAAUGGGUCAUCACUUCAUCCAUAUGCAACCUCCUGCGUGGUCGUACAUUUUUAUUUGGAUCUACUCGCUGUGUGGUCAUCCAUAUGUGUAUUGUGUUGUCAGGUCGUGUGCAAGUUUGUUACAAGUUCA